Molecule: ribosomal RNA, 493 nt
Filed under: Staphylococcus aureus
Lineage: Bacteria; Bacillati; Bacillota; Bacilli; Caryophanales; Staphylococcaceae
Description: bacterial LSU rRNA
Rfam family: Bacterial large subunit ribosomal RNA
Source: RNAcentral
GGUAAGUUCCGACCCGCACGAAAGGCGUAACGAUUUGGGCACUGUCUCAACGAGAGACUCGGUGAAAUCAUAGUACCUGUGAAGAUGCAGGUUACCCGCGACAGGACGGAAAGACCCCGUGGAGCUUUACUGUAGCCUGAUAUUGAAAUUCGGCACAGCUUGUACAGGAUAGGUAGGAGCCUUUGAAACGUGAGCGCUAGCUUACGUGGAGGCGCUGGUGGGAUACUACCCUAGCUGUGUUGGCUUUCUAACCCGCACCACUUAUCGUGGUGGGAGACAGUGUCAGGCGGGCAGUUUGACUGGGGCGGUCGCCUCCUAAAAGGUAACGGAGGCGCUCAAAGGUUCCCUCAGAAUGGUUGGAAAUCAUUCAUAGAGUGUAAAGGCAUAAGGGAGCUUGACUGCGAGACCUACAAGUCGAGCAGGGUCGAAAGACGGACUUAGUGAUCCGGUGGUUCCGCAUGGAAGGGCCAUCGCUCAACGGAUAAAAGCUACC